GAGUAAUGCGUGACCAACCUGCCCCAUGCUCCAGAAUAGCUCUUGGAAACGGGUGGUAAUGCUGGAUGCUCCAACUUGACGCAUGUCUUGUUGGGAAAGUGUUUAGUGGCAUGGGAUGGGGUCGCGUCCUAUCAGCUUGUAGGCGGGGUAAUGGCCCACCUAGGCUUCGACGGGUAGCCGGCCUGAGAGGGCGGACGGCCACAUUGGGACUGAGAUACGGCCCAGACUCCUACGGGAGGCAGCAG
RNAcentral lists this ribosomal RNA (245 nucleotides) under uncultured Gardnerella sp. RNAcentral's name for it is "partial 16S ribosomal RNA". It matches the Rfam family "Bacterial small subunit ribosomal RNA", at positions 108 to 354 of the family's 1533-position model. The record is from RNAcentral. Lineage: Bacteria; Bacillati; Actinomycetota; Actinomycetes; Bifidobacteriales; Bifidobacteriaceae.